Molecule: long non-coding RNA, 6130 nt
Filed under: Sus scrofa (pig)
Lineage: Eukaryota; Metazoa; Chordata; Mammalia; Artiodactyla; Suidae
Description: lncRNA (ENSSSCG00055005267.1)
Source: RNAcentral
CUUUUUUUUUUUUUUUUUUUUUUUUUUGUCUUUCUGUCUUUUCUAGGGCUGUACCCGAGGCAUAUGGAAGCUCCCUGGCUAGGGGUCUAAUCAGAACUGUAGCUGCCAGCCGACACCACAACCACAGCAACACCAGAUCUGAGCCACAUUUGCGACCUACACCACAGCUCACGGCAAUGCCAGAUCCUUAACCCACUGAGCAAGGUCAGGGAUCGAACCCGCAACCUCAUGGUUCCUAGUUGGAUUCGUUAACCACUGAGCCACGAUGGGAACUCCUGGGGAUGGGAAUGUUAAGGCCUGAAUUCAAACCUCAGUUUGCAAGUUUCAAAACCAUGGAUAAAUCACUCAUCUCUCUGAGUUAAAACUAGUCUAUCUGUAGAGCAGAGAAAAUAAUGGCUUUGCCCAUAUCAUUGAGAUAUCAUAAAGAUCAAGUAAUCUAGGGUUUGUGAAAAUGUUGCAGAAACUAUAAAAUGACCUAUUAAUAUAAAAGAUCCAUUUUAUGAAAAUGCUUCAGAAACCAUAAAAUGAAAUAUUAAUAUAAAGUAUUUGUUUUGCUAUUAAACCUUAAAAUUUUAUUCCGAUUUUAUAAUCAUAUCUAGGUUUAUUUACCAUAAUCUACUUGCUCAUUGUAAACUCACUUCAAGAUUCAGACAGGGAGUGAUAUAGUAUAAAGGGAAGAACUCAAGGCUAGAAUUAGCUGAACUUGAAUCCCAGUUACAGAACCUAUUGGCCAAGAUCCCCUGGCCAUGUUGCUUCUCUGAAUCUGUUAAUUCAUCCAUAAAGCAUACACAGUAAUACCCAGCUAUGUUAAUGGAUAUCAUGUAGACAAUGCAUGCGGUUCAGGUUCUCACCACUGAGAAUCACUUCCAUUACUACAAAGUUAUAGGAGUCUUUGUUCUCCUCACUAACCGUACUUACUAAUGGCCAUAUGGCUAAAGAACUGUAUCAUAUUCUGCUAGUUUUGUGGCCUCUUUAUUUUGCUUUUCUCAUCCCCUUCCCAAAGCAAAGGAUUUGCAAUUACCAUAGUUAUUAUGAAAUUUUAUUGGAUGAGUGACUAACAAGUUAGUGUUACAGGUUGUGUGUGUGUGUGUGUGUGUGUGUGUGUGUGUGAGUGUGUGUGCGCGCGCUAGCGGUCAUAUCCCACUGAGAUAUCUGAACAGUGAGUCUGGUUUGAAAGGAAAAGCAAGGAGAGGGUCACACAAGGUUGAAGCCAUGUUCUUGUCAAGGUGACGCUUAGCAAGGUUACAGCCUUACUUUUGUAAUUUUGUAUUUUAUAUUUUCUUUUUCUUGAAGUGAGUGUUUUGAAAACAUUGUCCCACCUGGAGAAAUCUGGAAACUGGUAAAAUGAAGGCCUGUCUGAGAAACAAAACACUGCUGCAAAGAAUCUGAUUUAGUAUCAUGACUUUGGUUCAUUUUUAAUAUAGAAUUUCAUGGCUCAUCAAGGGGUAAGCCAGUCUAUCAAAAGAAGUUGUCUUUUUUGUUCAUUUUAGAAAUGUCCCUGCUGUUACUGUGUGGCGUGUGCUUUUGAAAACUCAACACAGUUUAAACAGAAGAGGGCUGAGGCUUUGUUCUCUCUCCCCUCUUCCCGUCUAAGUUCAUUGUCUUUGCCCUACAAGUUCUUCUCACAGUUUUACCAAUUCCUUCCUGCCCAUAUGAACAAAUGUCAUAGCUUAGCAACAAUCAUCAUUUCAUAUUACAUUUAUAGUUCAGCUAAUAUGAUGGAAUGAUCUACAUGCCAGAAUCUCUUAAUUUCUUUUCCUUUCCUUUACACAGCUGCAGACUGGAACCAAAUGCUCAGUCAGAUAUCUUUCUUAUAUAACUAAUGGGAGGUGAGUGUUUUCCUGUUUCUGUUUUCUCUCUCACCCAUAUUUUCUGUCUCCCUCUGUAUUUAUAGAACCAGCUUUAAUUAUAAUUUACCAGUGUGCUGAGGGCACAUCAGUGAGUCUCCAGAUGGUGCAAAGCAACCUGUGAGAGUACAUUGCUUUUCACAUUUGAUCUUGGAAUAGCCAAUAUGUUCCUGGCAAGCACUGACUAAGCAGUUGACCUGUCUAUUUGCCGUUAGUUUCCAUUUACUUGCUUUCUGGUAAUGAAUACUAAUAUUCCAUGAUAUGAUGGGUCCCCUAAUGUAUCUCCCUAUUUUUCCCUUUUAGAUUUUCCUUUACGCUUCAUCCGUGGAUCAGUAGGAGGGAAUCCUUUAAUUUAAUACAUAUAUAUUAAAUUAUACAUUUAUUUCAUUAUUUUAAACGAGCUUUUCCUUCCAGCGUAUCACAGCUUCUGAAAUGAAGGUCUUAAACUUAAUGUCAAAGAGUGCUGGAUAUUUUUUUCUAAAAGCAUUUUUGAGAAUGUGAAAAGUAUAUCUAUAAAUAAAUGAAGAGAAAAGAAAGACGAGGAAGAGAAAGCUAUUAUGUUUUACAUGUUCUUCCAUUUCCUCUGAACAAACUCGUUGCCAGAAUGUUUAAAAUAGUUAUGUAACACCAAUUUGGUUACAACAACCAAGUACUCAUACCAUCAGUAUAGAUUCUGUAUUUCUUUAAUUCCAAAAUAAUGCAAAGCAAGUGCUCCAGAAUGAUCCUAAGAAUUGUAAAUAAGCCAGUGAUGGCAAAGCAUUUGUUAGAAAUGGUAAUUUGUGUGUAUACAUACAGAACACAUAUAUUAUAUGUAUACAUUGUAGGGAACAGUACAUGAUAGAGGAUUCUCAUAGCAUUGUUUUUUCUGGUCUAAAACCAACUAAAUAUAACAAUUAUAAUUUUAUUAUAGAUGAAAAUAUUCUAAGUUUAUAUGAAUUGUCAAAAAUUUGUAUUGGCCUAAAUUGGAACUACAGAAAUGGGAAUACCAGGAAAAUUCUAAAGGAAUUUAAUUUUUUUGUUUUUUGUCUUUUAAGGGCCGCACCUGAGGCAUAUGGAGUGGCCCUAGAAAAGGCAAAAAGACAAAAAGAAUGUUAGGAUGUAUAUGUUCAUAAGUAAGUAAACAUGAAAGUUUUCAUUUUCAAUGUUAUUCUGCAUGUUCAUGGUAAUUCUACUCUACCAUUGCCUCACUUAUUUUUUCACCUGAUGUGCCUCUUGUAUUCAAUACCAUGAAUACGUAUUGGGGGUGGGUGUAGGUCAGAAGAAAAUUAAAGGAAAGUUGAGAACAUUUCAGACAGAGAGCAAAUGAAUGAGGAGAUGAAACAACCUGCCACUUGUGAUUCCCUUGGUUUCUUUGCGGCACAGAAAGAGGGUCGGAAUUGAUAAUAGAUGGGAAACAGAAUGGAGGUGGCUUUCCAUGACAACCUCUGGAACUUGGAUUUUGUCCUUUUUCUAUAUGUAAAUGGGAAAACUGAUACAUUUUGAGCAGGUGAGUAUCAUAUUAUUGAAUUCCUUUAGAUAUUCACAAUAGCAGCAGUGUGAAGGGCGUCAUGAGAGAAACUGCAGAAAAAUACAUAUUAGGGGACCAUAGCCAUAUUCAAGAUGAGAAGUGAGAAGGUUCUAGAUGAGGACUGAAAACAAGGGAGUGUUAGAAUAUACACUUUACAAGAUUUAGGGAUGAUUAGAUAUCAGUUGAAGGAAAGAUACAAGUUAGGGUGACUUGUGGCAUUUUGAUUUGAAGAGCUUAGUGGAUUUCUAAAAUGAGGAAUGCAGGAGGAAAGGGAGAUUCAUGGAAGGUGAUGAAGUCAGUUUUGCACAUAUUGUGAAGUCUAUGAGACACAUCUCAGUGGUAGAGACUUGAGACACAAGUCUUAAGCUCAGGAGAGAGAGGCCUGAGAUGUGCAAAAAUAUUUGUUUGUCAGAUUCGAGGGUCAGCAGCAUCGGUGACUGUUGAAACCCAGAGAGUAAGGAGCUUGCCCACACUUUCUGGAGGGAAAGGUCCCCAUAGCAGAGCCCUGGAGGACAUUAACACUUGAGCCAUCCUUAGAAGAAGAGAAAUUAGAAAAGGAGAAGUUUUAAAUAGGAAGGAGGACUACCAGGAGAGAGUCAUGACUCAAAAGGGAAGGGAAAAAACAAUUUCAAAAUUAAAUAAGAUGAGGACUGAAUGACAACAUUGUCUUUGCCCUUAAUUGUCAUUGGUAAACUUUGCCAGAACUAAUUAGUAUGGUAGAUUGCAGAGGCUAUGACCAGUAAAAUUUAAUAUGUACCAAUCUUAUCAAUGGAUCAAGUCAUCACUUCUAAAAAUUACACAGAAAUAACUUAUUCAAAACAAUAGUUCAUUUAAAAAUGAAACAGUGUUUGCAUAUGCAACAUUAAAACUGAUUUAGAAAUUAUGUUUUUAGAAGACAAUUCCCUGACGUUAUAAAAAUUCCUAAUAAAUAGUUGCAUUUGGGGAAUAUGAAGCCUCACCUUGGGCCAUCAUAGAUCAAUUGAUCCUGAACUAGCUCUCCUGUUGUACACAACUAGAAAACUAAACAAAAUAUAUUUUAAAAAAUGUUUUCAGACAUUCGACAAUAGGUAGCAUAAAGCAGCAUCUCUAAGGGAAGGAAAACAAGGAAAAGGUGAGCCCUGUGAUGAACCAGGCUUUCUGGCAAUGGCAGAAGCCAAGGCAGAAGGAUGAAUCCUAAUCAGAGAUCUCACUAAUCACAGUUUGGAGGAGCUAAGGUGUUUGGAGUGGCAGGAGAGAAUAAUGGAGAGAAAGGAGUACACACAGCAAGAGCUCUAGAAACCUGCACAGGGCUGUCAGUGAGACUUUGGUAUAAUACAAAGGUGUCCAUGCCUUAGCUACAUUUUACAAGGUUGAGAUAACUACCAGGGAACUAGAAAUUCAACAACUAUUAGAAGUGGCACGGAACUGGACUGCAUUCAAACACUGAAAAUAUCAAGCUGAUUCCCCAGUAAGUAGAUUUCUGACCAAAAACAAACUCAAUACUCUUUUAAGGAAGACAAUACAAUCCAGAAUGUCAACAAUUAAACAUUCGAAAUGUCUAGCAUCUCAUUUAAAAAUUACUAGACAUGCAAAGAAGCAGGGAAAUAUGAUCUAUAGUUAUAAAAAAGUCAACCAAUAGAAAUAAGCCCAGAAAUUACUAAGGUGAUGGAAUCAGUAGGUGAGGUCUUUAACAGCUCUAUAAAUAUAUUCAAGGAUUUAAAGGCAACCAUGAACAAAAUGAGAUGACAAAUUGAACCUAUUAAAAAAAACAGAUGGAAUUUCUAAUAUUGAAAAAUGUAAUAAGUGAAAUUAAAAUUCACUGGAUGAGCUUAAAAGCAGAAUAAAUGCUACAGAAGAAAAGAUUACUGAACUUAAAAGCAGAACAAUAUGUAGACUCCAAAAAGAAACACUCUGAGAAAACAGAUUUAAAACAAUAACUUUGAUACUUUAGAUGAAUGAACAGAUUCCUUGAAAAAUAUAAACUACCAAUGCUGACAUAAGAGAAAAUCCAAAUCACUCUCUACCUAUUAAAUAAAUUGAAUCUUCAAUUUAAAAUCUUCUCACAAAAAAAGCGAAGACAAGAAAUCCAGUUAUGAAUGGCUUCACAAACUUUUAUCAAAUGUUUAAAGAAGAAAUGAUCCCAGCUGUCCAUACAUUCUUUAAGAAAAUAGAAGAAUAGGUAACACGUCUCAACAAUUUCAUUACAAAAUAGUAAGACUCAUUUCAGGAGUUCCCAUCGUGGCUCAGUGGAAACAAAUCUGAUUAGCAUUCAUGAGGACGCACGGUCAAUCCCUGGCCUGGCUCAGUGGGUUAAGGAUCUGGUGUUGCCGUGAGCUUUGGUGUAGAUCACAGAUGUAGCUCAUAUCUGGAGUUGCUGUGGCUGUGGUGUAGGCCAGCAGCUGUAGCUCUGAUUUGACCACUAGCCUGGGAACUUCCAUGAUGCUGGAGGUGUGGCCCUAAAAAUACAAAAACAAACAAACAAACAAAAAAACAACAAAAAAACAAAACCCGACUCAUUUCAACACAGACUUAGUUCUUAGAAAGACGAGAUCUUGUCUGGAUAAUAAUAAUCACAAAUAGAGCCACAGAGAACCUGGGAGUUACACAUAUAUUUAAAGGUUUUCAGUAGGAGGAGCAAGGGCCAUUCUGAUUUAGGGAAAUAAAAUAGUGAUUUGAAACAAGGAAGCAUAUGUACAUGGAACAGUUAUUGCAACUGGAUGAUAUCAGAUAUCAUCGAUAUCAUUAGGUUCAUUUCAGAGACUUUUAGGGCUGGGCUUACCACAUAGAUGAUGUCAUA